ACGCUGGCGGCACGCCUAACACAUGCAAGUCGAACGAAGUAGCAAUACUUAGUGGCAGACGGGUGAGUAACAUGUAGGUAUCUGCCCUUUGGCCUGGAAUAACACGAGGAAACUUGUGCUAAUACCGGAUAAGUCUUUACGGAGAAAGCUUUAUGCACCAUUGGAUGAGCCUGCACUUGAUUAGUUUGUUGGUGGGGUAAUGGCCUACCAAGACUUUGAUCAAUAGCUGAUUUGAGAGGAUGAUCAGCCACAUUGGGACUGAGACACGGCCCAAACUCCUACGGGAAGCAGCAGUGGGGAAUCUUGCACAAUGGAGGAAACUCUGAUGCAGCGAUGCCGCGUGAGUGAAGAAGGCCCUUGGGUUGUAAAGCUCUUUCGUCGGGGAAGAAAAUGACUGUACCCGAAUAAGAAGGUCCGGCUAACUUCGUGCCAGCAGCCGCGGUAAUACGAAGGGACCUAGCGUAGUUCGGAAUUACUGGGCUUAAAGAGUUCGUAGGUGGUUGAAAAAGUUGGUGGUGAAAUCCCAGAGCUUAACUCUGGAACUGCCAUCAAAACUUUUCAGCUAGAGUAUGAUAGAGGAAAGCAGAAUUUCUAGUGUAGAGGUGAAAUUCGUAGAUAUUAGAAAGAAUACCAAUUGCGAAGGCAGCUUUCUGGAUCAUUACUGACACUGAGGAACGAAAACAUGGGUAGCGAAGAGGAUUAGAUACCCUCGUAGUCCAUGCCGUAAACGAUGUGUGUUAGACGUUGGAAAUUUAUUUUCAGUGUCGCAGCGAAAGCGAUAAACACACCGCCUGGGGAGUACGACCGCAAGGUUAAAACUCAAAUGAAUUGACGGGGACCCGCACAAGUAGUGGAGCAUGUGGUUUAAUUCGAAGAUACGCGCAGAACCUUACCAACACUUGACAUGUUCGUCGCGACUCUAAGAGAUUAGAGUUUUCGGUUCGGCCGGACGAAACACAGGUGCUGCAUGGCUGUCGUCAGCUCGUGUCGUGAGAUGUUGGGUUAAGUCCCGCAACGAGCGCAACCCUCACUUUUAGUUGCCAUCAUUUAGUUGGGCACUCUGAAAGAACUGCCAGUGAUAAGCUGGAGGAAGGUGGGGAUGACGUCAAGUCCUCAUGGCCCUUACGUGUUGGGCUACACACGUGCUACAAUGGUAUCUACAACAGGAAGCAAGACGGCGACGUUAAGCAAAUCCUUAAAAGAUACCUCAGUUCGGAUUGCACUCUGCAACUCGAGUGCAUGAAGCUGGAAUUACUAGUAAUCGUGGAUCAGCGUGCCACGGUGAAUGCGUUCCCGGGUCUUGUACACACCGCCCGUCACACCAUGGGAGUUGGUUCUACCUUAAGGCAAGGUUUAAAACCCUUGACCACGGUAUAGUCAGCGACUGGGGUGAAGUCGUAACAAGGUAGCCGUAGGGGAACCUGCGGCUGGAUUACCUCCUUUCU
RNAcentral lists this ribosomal RNA (1445 nucleotides) under uncultured marine bacterium. Its description in RNAcentral is "16S ribosomal RNA". It matches the Rfam family "Bacterial small subunit ribosomal RNA". The record is from RNAcentral.